AUAUGCAAGCUCACUUAAGACAUUCAAGGAGGUCUGGAUGUCCUCACUGCCCAGGCCCGGGCCCACCCCACCUUUAACCGUCAGGGUUCCCCACUACCUGGGAAGCCCCACACCCUCCAAAGAUGCGCUAGGUGCGCCAGACGCAUGCUCCUCUGCUCCGCUGGCUCCGAAGAACCAGAUCUGAGGCCAAGAUAAAACCCGAUUCCUGAUGUCCGACCCCCUAACAUUAGAAGUCGAGAGAUGAAGGGAAAACUCGGAAAUCAGAGCCAUGGAUUCAAACCAGCACUGGAAAAUGCCCCGGGACAGUUCGUGCUGAGCGCCUUAGCCACAGGAAACAUUUUCCUGGGCAUCUAAAAGUAUUGUGGACCUGAGACACUGUGCUUACAGGGCCUACUGGUUUUCACUGUAUGAGACUGAGAAUGGAUUACGGCAGUUCCUCUUACCUCCGCUGCAUACUUGACUCCAUCCACGGUGUGCUCAGAGCCAUGAUCAUCCGAAGAGCCCCAGUGAAGAUGAAACUGGCGAAGUCGGUAGGGUCCAGGGAGAGGACCCCCUCUCAGCACUGUGAUUCAGAUAAGCUUGGUCAAC
RNAcentral lists this non-coding RNA (588 nucleotides) under Pan troglodytes (chimpanzee). Lineage: Eukaryota; Metazoa; Chordata; Mammalia; Primates; Hominidae. The record is from RNAcentral.